GCUAUAGCUCAGUUGGAUAGAGCGACCGCCUCCUAAGCGGUAGGCCGGAGGUUCAAGUCCUCUUAGC
This 67-nucleotide transfer RNA is filed under the name pig gut metagenome. It matches the Rfam family "tRNA". From Rfam's summary of the family: Transfer RNA (tRNA) molecules are approximately 80 nucleotides in length. The record is from RNAcentral.